AGAGUUUGAUCAUGGCUCAGAGCGAACGCUGGCGGCGUGCUUAACACAUGCAAGUCGAGUGCGCGCCUGUAGCAAUACAGGUGGCGCACGGCGCACGGGUGCGUAACACGUGGGCAAUCUGCCCUCGGAUGGGGGAUAACUCGCCGAAAGGCGAGCUAAUACCGCAUGACAUUCCUGGGACUCCGGUCCCGGGACUCAAAGGCCGCAAGGCCGUCUGAGGAGGAGCCCGCGCCCGAUUAGCUAGUUGGUGAGGUAACGGCUCACCAAGGCUUUGAUCGGUAGCCGGUCUGAGAGGAUGGCCGGCCACACUGGAACUGAGACACGGUCCAGACUCCUACGGGAGGCAGCAGUGGGGAAUAUUGCGCAAUGGGCGAAAGCCUGACGCAGCGACGCCGCGUGGGGGAUGAAGCUUCUCGGAGUGUAAACCCCUUUCGACCCGGACGAAUGACCCGCAAGGGUUUGACGGUACGGGUAUAAGAAGCCCCGGCUAACUACGUGCCAGCAGCCGCGGUAAUACGUAGGGGGCCAGCGUUGCUCGGAAUUACUGGGCGUAAAGGGUUCGUAGGUGGUGCGGCAAGUUGGAAGUGAAAUCUCUGGGCUUAACUCAGAGGCUGCUUUCAAAACUGCCGUGCUCGAGUGCGGGAGAGGCCAGUGGAAUUGCAGGUGUAGCGGUGAAAUGCGUAGAUAUCUGCAGGAACACCCGUGGCGAAGGCGGCUGGCUGGACCGCAACUGACACUGAGGAACGAAAGCUAGGGGAGCAAACAGGAUUAGAUACCCUAGUAGUCC
RNAcentral lists this ribosomal RNA (787 nucleotides) under uncultured bacterium. RNAcentral's name for it is "bacterial SSU rRNA". It matches the Rfam family "Bacterial small subunit ribosomal RNA", at positions 8 to 796 of the family's 1533-position model. The record is from RNAcentral.